This 253-nucleotide ribosomal RNA is filed under the name uncultured bacterium. Its description in RNAcentral is "partial 16S ribosomal RNA". It matches the Rfam family "Bacterial small subunit ribosomal RNA", at positions 524 to 776 of the family's 1533-position model. The record is from RNAcentral.
GACGAACCGUGCGAACGUUGUUCGGAUUCACUGGGCUUAAAGGGCGCGUAGGCGGACUCGCCAGUCUGUGGUGAAAGCCCCCAGCUCAACUGGGGAAGGGCCGUGGAUACUGCGAGUCUGGAGGAGGGUAGGGGCAUCUGGAACGCUGGGUGGAGCGGUGAAAUGCGUUGAGAUCGGAAAGAACACCAACGGCGAAAGCACUCUGCUGGGCCGACACUGACACUGAGAGACGAAAGCUAGGGGAGCAAAUGGG